CAUCAUUUGUUCCUGAUGAAGAGCAUCAGUUUGAGUCCAAGGCCGAUGUCGGAGCCUCCAAGACUUAUCCUCAGCAAGCCGGCACCAUUCGCAAUAAUGCUUAUAUCGUCAUCAAGAAUCGUGCUUGCAAGGUUAACUUCUUUCUUCAAUCUCAGUUUUGUUUUGGAAAAUCCUUGUGUUGCGUAGUUAUAUUUUUUAUUUAAUUGUGUUAAUUUUUAGACAGUUUUGCGUCAAUUGUUUUUCAAUUAUGCUGUUAGGGGUUAGGGUUUUUGUUGCUUUUCGUCUGUUUCAAGUCAACAUGUUUGUAUGUCUUGAUUUUGCUUAAUACGAAAUGACCCUCUUCCUUCAUCUUCCUUAAACCUAGCCGCUCAUCUACCCCAUCUCUUCUGUCGUUGUCGGAGAUCGGAGACCGGAAUUAGCUUCAUUUUUCAUGUUGGCAUCUUCGUUUUUUCUGCCUCUCUAAAUCCGGAGUCUAAAAACAACUAGAUAUGCUUCUUAUUUUUGACAUUUACUUCGUUAAAACAUGAAAAAAUCUUGGUAGUCGUAACAAAUGUUUUCGAAAUUGGGUAAUCUUUAUCCAACCAGGUUCGUUUUUGGUUGAUAAAUGUAACUUGAUUUUUUAGGAAAUCCUCAUUUUGAUAUGUAAUUUGAACUGAUUGAUUUUAGAAUUCAUCAUUUUGAUAUGUAAUUUGACCUGGUUGUUUAAGAAAGCCUCAUUUUGAUAUGUAAUUUGACCUGAUGGUUUAAGACAUCCUCAUCUUGAAGUGGGUGAUCUGCUGAAGACAAAUCUGAUUGAAUUCAGCUAUAAGCUUCAAAAACAUGGAAUUGUAGGACUUUGACUUUUGUUUUUGCUUAGUUUAAUGGGUCCUUUGUUGUCUUGUUUCCUCUAAUAUAAUUUAAUUGAGUUGUUUGUCUCAUUACAGGAAAGUAUGUAUCAUUACAGGAAAAUAGUGAACAAGUGAUCGACUUUAAUUCUGUAAUUGGUGGUUUUUGUUAUUUUAAUUAGGCUGGCCUUGUUUUUAGUGGGAUUAAACCAAACCAUAAUUUUAGAACACUAACCAGAAUUUUAUUAAAGGCUUCAAGAAUAUUUUGUUGAAGCCAUCGUGACUUUUAAUCCUAACAUUGUAACAUAAUGACGAAAUUACCCCAAGACUAGAUUAUAUUAACGUCUAUAACCGUUACUAAUAUUUAAUCGCUAAGUAAUAAAUAAUGAUAUAUCUUUCAUAUAAUCAGUGAACCACUAUAUUGUUGUGUUUUUGUGAGAAAAAGUUUAAUUUAGAGGCUUUAUAUUAUCCAUGUUUGGUUUCUUAUUGUUUAGUUUAAGGGGUAUUUUUAUGUCAAUUUUAUAGUCGACGGUGAACGAGCAGCGGUCAACUGUGCACCCCACUUGACUUCCGGGCUGGAUCAGCCACUGUCCAUGAUCCUUUUAAAUGUUUAUUGAUGCCCCUUAUUUAAAUUGGUUAUUUUUCUUUAAUAUCACAAUUCAGACAUAUUAUUUAUUUAUAAAUUUAUAUAUUGAAGACAUUAAAUUAUUAAUCACUAUUCUAUUGUGAAAUGUAACAUGGUACUAUGUUGUGGAAGUUUCCACCUCCAAUACUGGCAAGCAUGGUCAUUCCAAGUGUCACUUUGUUGCAAUCGAGAUUUUCAACAGGAAAAAGCUUGAGGAUAUUGUUCCAUCAUCCCAUAAUUGUGAUGUCUACAGUGUCAUUUGUACCGAUUACCAGCUAAUUGAUAUGUCUGAAGAUGGAUUUGUAUGAUAGUCUCUACUCUGGAUUUGGAGAGGGGAAGGACCUGGUUGUGACUCAUAUGUCAGCAACGGGAAAGGAACAGAUUUGUGCUCUCAAGGACAUUGGCCCCAAAUAUACAAUUCAAAAAAUCCAUAACCACCACACUAUAAUAUAUUAUAAAAUUUGAAGAAAACAGAAAAACAAGUCAUGUUUUUAUUUUGUUUUAUCAUGUAACAUAUGUUUAUGUUACUUAUCAAAAUUAGAAAUUGAAAUUC
Long non-coding RNA from Lactuca sativa (garden lettuce), 2002 nucleotides. RefSeq lists it as uncharacterized. NCBI's taxonomy places the organism in Eukaryota, Viridiplantae, Streptophyta, Magnoliopsida, Asterales, Asteraceae. The record is from RefSeq and is a predicted model, not a curated record.